UACGGAGGGUGCGAGCGUUAUCCGGAAUUACUGGGUUUAAAGGGUGCGUAGGCGGCCAAGUAAGUCAGGAGUGAAAGUUUGCGGCUCAACCGUAAAAUUGCUUUUGAUACUGCCAGGCUAGAAUUAGGAUGAGGUCAGCGGAAUGUGGCAUGUAGCGGUGAAAUGCAUAGAUAUGCCAUAGAACACCAAUUGCGAAGGCAGCUGGCUAGACCUGGAUUGACGCUGAGGCACGAAAGCGUGGGGAGCGAACAGG
Molecule: ribosomal RNA, 253 nt
Filed under: uncultured bacterium
Lineage: Bacteria
Description: partial 16S ribosomal RNA
Rfam family: Bacterial small subunit ribosomal RNA
Source: RNAcentral